Molecule: non-coding RNA, 808 nt
Organism: Camellia sinensis
Lineage: Eukaryota; Viridiplantae; Streptophyta; Magnoliopsida; Ericales; Theaceae
Source: RefSeq, a predicted model, not a curated record
GUAAUGAAUGCAAAGUGACACUGUAUAUUUGAUCUGUUCUAAGGUAUCCUCUUGGACAUGUGAUUGGUGGAACUGUUUACCCUGGAUUGACAUUGACAGCUGGCACCAUGUGGUGGAUACUGAAUUCUUUGAAUAUUCCUCUGUCUGUGGAAACUAUUUGUGUAUUUAUGGCUCCAGUAUUCUCUGCUAUUGCUGCAUGGGCAACCUACCUUCUCACAAAGAUUCAUGUUCUAUUUUUAUUUUUGUUUUGGAACAUGUAUUUCUAGAACCUAGGACUCGUUAUGUAUUAUGUUUAAUGUGAGUUUUCUGCAAACUGAGAUUUCUCAAUCUUGUCCAAUACCCCAACACGCAGGAAGUUAAGGGUGCGGGUGCUGGACUGACUGCAGCAGUUCUUUUAGCCAUGAUAGGACAAGCAUGUAGGCCAGUGGUAAAGGGUUUGGGAAUGUGGGGUUCGGUCAAAGCUCUAGGAAGAGGAUACGAGUACAUAAUGGGGGUUGUCAUCUUUGUACCUAUUACUAUGUUGGCGUGGUUCCCAUUAGUCACAGAAUUCCAGACCAGGUUGCUAUUCAACCAAGCUUUCAGCCGAGGGCUUCAGAUUCAACGCAUUCUCGCUGGUGGGAAGAAGCAGAAGCAGAAGUAAUUAAGUACAAGUAAAAUACUUUCUGCACACAAUUUGAUUUGUGGAGAGAGAGAGAGAGAGAUACAUGAUUGCAAUGUCAAGUUUACUCAAUUGUAUAUUGAUCUCCUCCACUUUCUUCUUCUUUUUCAUAUCAGCUAUACUGGAAAUGAAUUUUAAUUCUCUUUGGUC